CCUACGGGUGGCUGCAGUGAGGAAUAUUGGUCAAUGGGCUUACGCCUGAACCAGCCAAGUCGCGUGAGGGAAGACUGCCCUAUGGGUUGUAAACCUCAUUUUGUCAGGGAGCAAUUGGCGCUACGUGUAGCGUUAUCGAGAGUACCUUAAGAAAAAGCAUCGGCUAACUCCGUGCCAACAGCCGCGGUAAUACGGAGGGUGCGAGCUUUAUCCGGAUUUAUGGGGUUUAAAGGGUGCGUAGGCGGAAUGCCAAGUCAGUGGUAAAAUCGCGGGGCCCAACCUCGCUCCGCCGUUGAAACUGGCGGUCUUGAGUGGGCGAGAAGUAUGCGGAAUGCGUGGUGUAGCGGUGAAAUGCAUAGAUAUCACGAAGAACUCCGAUUGCGAAGGCAGCAUACCGGCGCCCAACUGACGUUGAAGCACGAAAGCGUGGGUAUCGAACAGGAUUAGAUACCCCAGUAGUC
RNAcentral lists this ribosomal RNA (461 nucleotides) under uncultured bacterium. RNAcentral's name for it is "partial 16S ribosomal RNA". It matches the Rfam family "Bacterial small subunit ribosomal RNA", at positions 338 to 795 of the family's 1533-position model. The record is from RNAcentral.